This 907-nucleotide long non-coding RNA is filed under the name Mus spicilegus (steppe mouse). RNAcentral describes it as "lncRNA (ENSMSIG00000021901.1)". Lineage: Eukaryota; Metazoa; Chordata; Mammalia; Rodentia; Muridae. The record is from RNAcentral.
GCUGUUUUUGUUAAGGUGGGAUGGCUACUUUUCUGUGUAUUCAUCUUCUGCAGGCUCAAUUCUCUUCUGCUGGGAUCCACCAGGUGAACAUCUGUUUUAUGAGCUCUACUCUGGCAGCCCCUUCUCCUCAUCAUUCAGAUGAUGAACUGCCUCUGCAUUGUGAAUGAUGGAUGAAUCCCGGAGCUCCUGCUGUGAGCCUUCCUGGAUGAAGAGCUCAGCUUUUCUGCUGUGAUUAUCAGAUUCCUCCUAGGCAUGCAAGCCUUCCAAAUGAAGCAGAGCACAAUGAACAUGUCCACCUAUAUGGGAGAUGCACAAGAAGAGUGGGAUGCAUUGAGAGUGUGAACUGCUCCAUAAACAAGUAGAUCAUCACCAAAGGCCUGUUCUUUUCCUUUACAGAUGUGCACUUAGUUCCUGGAGCAUCCAUUCAUCCAAGAGCUAUGUACUUCAAUGUUCCUUACAACAAGGUGGGGAGGCCACAUGCCUUAUUCCCAUCAACUGAGCAUGAGUAGAAAUGCUGUAUGCUUCUUUGAUGCAGAGUUUGUGAGAAGCAGGCAUGGAUCCUCCACCCACUGCAGCUCUGAGACCCGGUGUGAGCCUAUGAUUGGGGGCCAGAAAUGUCAUUGGCCUGUCAUGCAGAUGAAUGAUGCCCCUGGAGCAGUACAGAAAGCAAGUGCAGGACCAUACCCAGGGGUUCUCCUUCUGUGUUCCAACCUGCAUCACCUCUCACCAGGAUCCAAGAGCAAGCACCCAACACUUCCUGCUAUUUCAUCUCUGUUCCCAAAAGACCUCCAUUCUUCACCUAACAACCACCAAGGGUGAUGUUUUUGAAAAUCUGCACCUUAAGUAAUGUUGUCAUACAAUUGAAAUUCCCUCAAUAGUUUCCCAGCUCUCUUCACAUAAAAUCCAC